GCAAGUCGAGGGGUAACAGGAGAGCUUGCUCUCGCUGACGACCGGCGCACGGGUGCGUAACGCGUAUGCAACCUACCUUUAACUGGGAGAUAGCCCGGAGAAAUCCGGAUUAAUACCCCAUAAUAUUCCGAAUGGGCAUCCAUUUUGAAUUGAAGCUUCGGCGGUUUUAGAUGGGCAUGCGUGGCAUUAGUUAGUUGGUGAGGUAACGGCUCACCAAGACAAUGAUGCCUAGGGGUUCUGAGAGGAUUUUC
Molecule: ribosomal RNA, 251 nt
Filed under: uncultured bacterium
Lineage: Bacteria
Description: partial 16S ribosomal RNA
Rfam family: Bacterial small subunit ribosomal RNA
Source: RNAcentral